RNAcentral lists this ribosomal RNA (325 nucleotides) under uncultured eukaryote. RNAcentral's name for it is "partial 18S ribosomal RNA". It matches the Rfam family "Eukaryotic small subunit ribosomal RNA", at positions 1470 to 1796 of the family's 1831-position model. The record is from RNAcentral.
CCCUUAGAUGUUCUGGGCCGCACGCGCGCUACACUGAUGCAUUCAACGAGCCUAUCCUUGACCGACAGGUCCGGGUAAUCUUUGAAUCUGCAUCGUGACGGGGAUAGAUUAUUGCAAUUAUUAAUCUUCAACGAGGAAUGCCUAGUAGGCGCAAGUCAUCAGCUUGCGUCGAUUACGUCCCUGCCCUUUGUACACACCGCCCGUCGCUCCUACCGAUUGGGUGUGCUGGUGAAAUGUUCGGAUCGGCCGUUUGUCGCGGUUUCCGCGUCAUGCGGCUGAGAAGUUCAUUAAACCCUCCCACCUAGAGGAAGGAGAAGUCGUAACA